RNAcentral lists this long non-coding RNA (321 nucleotides) under Mus musculus (house mouse). Its description in RNAcentral is "long non-coding RNA chr11:102545701-102546022". Lineage: Eukaryota; Metazoa; Chordata; Mammalia; Rodentia; Muridae. The record is from RNAcentral.
GGCAGCAAGUGUUCGGAGUGGACAUGGGGGCCAUGCAUCCCCAGCAGCAAGGACUGCGGCAUGGGUACCUGUGGGGUCCAGACCCAGCACAUUCAUUGCAAGGUGCCCUGCAACUGGAAGAAGGAAUUUGGAGCCAACUGCAAAUACAAGUUUGAGAGCUGGGGGACGUGUGAUGGGAGCACUGGCACCAAAGCCCGCCAAGGGACCUUGAAGGAGGUAUGGUACAAUGCCCAGUGCCAGGAGGCCAUCUGCAGUAUCAAGCCCUGCACCUCCAAGACCAAGUCAAAGACCAAAGCCAAGAAAGGAAAAAGAAAGGACUAA